RNAcentral lists this ribosomal RNA (381 nucleotides) under uncultured eukaryote. Its description in RNAcentral is "partial 18S ribosomal RNA". It matches the Rfam family "Eukaryotic small subunit ribosomal RNA", at positions 592 to 976 of the family's 1831-position model. The record is from RNAcentral.
CAAUAGCGUAUAUUAAAGUUGUUGCGGUAAAAAAGCUCGUAGUUGGAUUUCUACCGAAGAUAGCCGGUCGGGUCUUCGACCUUGUAUCUGGUUUUGUCUUUGGUAUCCUCAUAGGGAACGUUUCUGCGCUUUAUUGCGUGGUGCGGUAUCUAUGACUUUUACUUUGAGGAAAUUAGAGUGUUCACGGCAGGCAAACGCCUUGAAUAUAUUAGCAUGGAAUAAUAACAUGGGAUCUUCGUCCUAUUUUGUUGGUUUCUAGGGCUAAGAUAAUGAUUAAUAGGGAUAAUUGGGGGCAUCUGUAUCAACGCGUCAGAGGUGGAAUUCUUGGAUUGCGUUGCGACAAACUACUGCGAAAGCAUUUGCCAAGGAUGUUUUCAUUGA